This 439-nucleotide ribosomal RNA is filed under the name uncultured bacterium. RNAcentral's name for it is "partial 16S ribosomal RNA". It matches the Rfam family "Bacterial small subunit ribosomal RNA", at positions 339 to 795 of the family's 1533-position model. The record is from RNAcentral.
CUACGGGAUGCUCCAGUGAGGAAUAUUGCACAAUGGGGGGAACCCUGAUGCAGCAACGCCGCGUGGAGGAUGACGCAUUUCGGUGUGUAAACUCUUUUUAUAUGUCAAGAAAAUGACGGUAGCAUAUGAAUAAGCACCGGCUAACUCCGUGCCAGCAGCCGCGGUAAUACGGAGACUGCGAGCGUUGUUCGGAAUCACUGGGCGUAAAGGGUGCGUAGGCGGUUUGGUAAGUCGGAUGUGAAAGCCCAAGGCUCAACUUUGGAACUGCAUCCGAUACUGCUGAACUAGAGUGCAGGAGGGGAGAGCGGAAUUCUUGGUGUAGCGGUGAAAUGCGUUGAUAUCAAGAAGAACACCGGUGGCGAAGGCGGCUCUCUGGAAUGUUACUGACGCUGAGGCACGAAAGCUGGGGGAGCAAACAGGAUUAGAUACCCUGGUAGUC